AGCAGGUCAGUUACAUGUUGAUGGACUGCCAAUCUCCACCUAUAGCAGGUCAGUUACAUGUUGAUGGACUGCCAAUCCCCACCUAUAGCAGGUCAGUUACAUGUUGAUGGACUGCCAAUCUCCACCUAUAGCAGGUCAGAUACAUGUUGAUGGACUGCCAAUCUCCACCUAUAGCAGGUCAGAUACAUGUUGAUGGACUGCCAAUCUCCACCUAUAGCAGGUCAGUUACAUGUUGAUGGACUGCCAAUCUCCUCCUAUAGCAGGUCAGUUACAU
This is a long non-coding RNA of Oncorhynchus keta (chum salmon), 274 nucleotides long. RefSeq lists it as uncharacterized. The record is from RefSeq and is a predicted model, not a curated record. NCBI's taxonomy places the organism in Eukaryota, Metazoa, Chordata, Actinopteri, Salmoniformes, Salmonidae. The transcript is spliced from 4 exons.